Molecule: ribosomal RNA, 286 nt
Filed under: uncultured bacterium
Lineage: Bacteria
Description: partial 16S ribosomal RNA
Rfam family: Bacterial small subunit ribosomal RNA
Source: RNAcentral
CUUUCCUACGGGAGGCAGCAGUGAGGAAUAUUGGUCAAUGGGCGAGAGCCUGAACCAGCCAAGUCGCGUGAGGGAAGACGGUCCUAUGGAUUGUAAACCUCUUUUGCCGGGGAGCAAAAAGCGGUACGUGUACCGCAUCGAGAGUACCCGGAGAAAAAGCAUCGGCUAACUCCGUGCCAGCAGCCGCGGUAAUACGGAGGAUGCGAGCGUUAUCCGGAUUUAUUGGGUUUAAAGGGUGCGUAGGCGGUUUUAUAAGUUAGAGGUGAAAUCUCGGGGCUCAAAUCCG